UAGGUUGGGGAGAGUAGAAAUGAAGAGCGUCACGAAGGCUCUAAUCAUCGUCACCAGUGACGAGAUCCGGCGCGGCUAGAGUCGUUGUCACGACCUGAUCUUCAUCUUAGUGAAGAUGUUUAACGCGAAGCCUGGGGAUGCUGUUUGCUUUGGCCUUUUUGUUUUCUUUUUUCUUUUUUCAAUUUUAUCCUUGGGCCUUCAUCAGGCCCAAACGGAACAAAAUUCGCCUUGCACCCUUCACUGGCCAACACACCCUGCUUGGGUUUAGGAUGGAUUAGGC
This 280-nucleotide long non-coding RNA is filed under the name Lathyrus oleraceus (garden pea). RNAcentral describes it as "Pisum sativum (pea) long non-coding RNA (PSAT_LNC009225)". Lineage: Eukaryota; Viridiplantae; Streptophyta; Magnoliopsida; Fabales; Fabaceae. The record is from RNAcentral.